Molecule: ribosomal RNA, 309 nt
Filed under: Forficula auricularia (European earwig)
Lineage: Eukaryota; Metazoa; Arthropoda; Insecta; Dermaptera; Forficulidae
Description: eukaryotic LSU rRNA
Rfam family: Eukaryotic large subunit ribosomal RNA
Source: RNAcentral
ACAGCCGUUGCACACGAGUAAGUAGUCGAUCCUAAGCCCUAAGAGAAAUCUUAUGUUGAUGUGAAGUACAUUUUUUUUUAUAAUUAUAAUAAAAUAAUUCUACUUCCAUUUGGGCGAAAGGGAAUCUGGUUCCAAUUCCAGAACUUAGCGCGGAACCGUUUCAUUUGUCGGGCCCACUCAUUUAUGAGUAAGCUCGUCGGGGUAACCCAAAAAGACCCGGAGACGCUGUCGGGAGAUGUAGGCAGAGUUUUCUGUUCUGUAUGAGCGUUCGAGUUCCCUGGAAUUCUCUAGCAGUGAGAUAGGGUUUGG